AUUGAACGCUGGCGGCAGGCUUAACACAUGCAAGUCGAGCGGGGUGAUGGUGCUUGCACUAUCACUUAGCGGCGGACGGGUGAGUAAUGCUUAGGAAUCUGCCUAUUAGUGGGGGACAACAUCUCGAAAGGGAUGCUAAUACCGCAUACGUCCUACGGGAGAAAGCAGGGGAUCACUUGUGCCCUUGCGCUAAUAGAUGAGCCUAAGUCGGAUUAGCUAGUUGGUGGGGUAAAGGCCUACCAAGGCGACGAUCUGUAGCGGGUCUGAGAGGAUGCUCCGCCACACUGGGACUGAGACACGGCCCAGACUCCUACGGGAGGCAGCAGUGGGGAAUAUUGGACAAUGGGGGGAACCCUGAUCCAGCCAUGCCGCGUGUGUGAAGAAGGCCUUAUGGUUGUAAAGCACUUUAAGCGAGGAGGAGGCUCUUCUGGUUAAUACCCAAGAUGAGUGGACGUUACUCGCAGAAUAAGCACCGGCUAACUCUGUGCCAGCAGCCGCCGUAA
This 503-nucleotide ribosomal RNA is filed under the name uncultured bacterium. Its description in RNAcentral is "partial 16S ribosomal RNA". It matches the Rfam family "Bacterial small subunit ribosomal RNA", at positions 30 to 523 of the family's 1533-position model. The record is from RNAcentral.